This 433-nucleotide ribosomal RNA is filed under the name uncultured bacterium. Its description in RNAcentral is "partial 16S ribosomal RNA". It matches the Rfam family "Bacterial small subunit ribosomal RNA", at positions 29 to 507 of the family's 1533-position model. The record is from RNAcentral.
AACGAACGCUGGCGGCAUGCCUAACACAUGCAAGUCGAACGAGACCUUCGGGUCUAGUGGCGCACGGGUGCGUAACGCGUGGGAACCUGCCCCUAGGUUCGGAAUAACUCCCCGAAAGGGGUGCUAAUACCGGAUAAUGUCUUCGGACCAAAGAUUUAUCGCCUUUGGAUGGGCCCGCGUUGGAUUAGCUAGUUGGUAGGGUAAAAGCCUACCAAGGCGACGAUCCAUAGCUGGUCUGAGAGGAUGAUCAGCCACACUGGGACUGAGACACGGCCCAGACUCCUACGGGAGGCAGCAGUGGGGAAUAUUGGACAAUGGGCGAAAGCCUGAUCCAGCAAUGACGCGUGAGUGAUGAAGGCCUUAGGGUUGUAAAGCUCUUUUACCCGGGAUGAUAAUGACAGUACCGGGAGAAUAAGCUCCGGCUAACUCCGUG